This 459-nucleotide ribosomal RNA is filed under the name uncultured bacterium. RNAcentral describes it as "partial 16S ribosomal RNA". It matches the Rfam family "Bacterial small subunit ribosomal RNA", at positions 338 to 795 of the family's 1533-position model. The record is from RNAcentral.
CCUACGGGUGGCAGCAGUGAGGAAUAUUGGUCAAUGGUCGGGAGACUGAACCAGCCAAGCCGCGUGAGGGAGGAAGGUACAGAGUAUCGUAAACCUCUUUUGUCAGGGAACAAAGGCGGGGACGUGUCCCCGGAUGAGUGUACCUGAAGAAAAAGCAUCGGCUAACUCCGUGCCAGCAGCCGCGGUAAUACGGAGGAUGCGGUCGUUAUCCGGAUUUAUGGGGUUAAAAGGGUGGGCGGGCGUGCUGUUAAGUCAGCGGUCAAAGCCCGGGGCUCACCCCCGGCCCGCCGUUGAAACUGGCAGUCUCGAGUUGGAGAGAAGUAUGCGGAAUGCGCGGUGUAGCGGUGAAAUGCAUAGAUAUCGCGAAGAACUCCGAUUGCGAAGGCAGCAUGCCGGCUCCACACUGACGCUGAGGCACGAAAGCGUGGGUAUCGAACAGGAUUAGAUACCCGAGUAGUC